This 2926-nucleotide ribosomal RNA is filed under the name Salmonella enterica subsp. enterica serovar Senftenberg. Its description in RNAcentral is "23S ribosomal RNA". It matches the Rfam family "Bacterial large subunit ribosomal RNA". Lineage: Bacteria; Pseudomonadati; Pseudomonadota; Gammaproteobacteria; Enterobacterales; Enterobacteriaceae. The record is from RNAcentral.
GGGUUGUGAGGUUAAGCGACUAAGCGUACACGGUGGAUGCCCUGGCAGUCAGAGGCGAUGAAGGGCGUGCUAAUCUGCGAUAAGCGCCGGUAAGGUGAUAUGAACCGUUAUAACCGGCGAUACCCGAAUGGGGAAACCCAGUGUGAUUCGUCACACUAUCAUUAACUGAAUCCAUAGGUUAAUGAGGCGAACCGGGGGAACUGAAACAUCUAAGUACCCCGAGGAAAAGAAAUCAACCGAGAUUCCCCCAGUAGCGGCGAGCGAACGGGGAGGAGCCCAGAGCCUGAAUCAGCAUGUGUGUUAGUGGAAGCGUCUGGAAAGGCGCGCGAUACAGGGUGACAGCCCCGUACACAAAAGCGCAUGUGCUGUGAGCUCGAUGAGUAGGGCGGGACACGUGGUAUCCUGUCUGAAUAUGGGGGGACCAUCCUCCAAGGCUAAAUACUCCUGACUGACCGAUAGUGAACCAGUACCGUGAGGGAAAGGCGAAAAGAACCCCGGCGAGGGGAGUGAAAAAGAACCUGAAACCGUGUACGUACAAGCAGUGGGAGCACAGGUUUACCUGUGUGACUGCGUACCUUUUGUAUAAUGGGUCAGCGACUUAUAUUCUGUAGCAAGGUUAACCGAAUAGGGGAGCCGGAGGGAAACCGAGUCUUAAUUGGGCGUUAAGUUGCAGGGUAUAGACCCGAAACCCGGUGAUCUAGCCAUGGGCAGGUUGAAGGUUGGGUAACACUAACUGGAGGACCGAACCGACUAAUGUUGAAAAAUUAGCGGAUGACCUGUGGCUGGGGGUGAAAGGCCAAUCAAACCGGGAGAUAGCUGGUUCUCCCCGAAAGCUAUUUAGGUAGCGCCUCGUGAAUUCAUCUCCGGGGGUAGAGCACUGUUUCGGCUAGGGGGCCAUCCCGGCUUACCAACCCGAUGCAAACUGCGAAUACCGGAGAAUGUUAUCACGGGAGACACACGGCGGGUGCUAACGUCCGUCGUGAAGAGGGAAACAACCCAGACCGCCAGCUAAGGUCCCAAAGUCAUGGUUAAGUGGGAAACGAUGUGGGAAGGCCCAGACAGCCAGGAUGUUGGCUUAGAAGCAGCCAUCAUUUAAAGAAAGCGUAAUAGCUCACUGGUCGAGUCGGCCUGCGCGGAAGAUGUAACGGGGCUAAACCAUGCACCGAAGCUGCGGCAGCGACACUGUGUGUUGUUGGGUAGGGGAGCGUUCUGUAAGCCUGUGAAGGUGGCCUGUGAGGGUUGCUGGAGGUAUCAGAAGUGCGAAUGCUGACAUAAGUAACGAUAAAGCGGGUGAAAAGCCCGCUCGCCGGAAGACCAAGGGUUCCUGUCCAACGUUAAUCGGGGCAGGGUGAGUCGACCCCUAAGGCGAGGCCGAAAGGCGUAGUCGAUGGGAAACGGGUUAAUAUUCCCGUACUUGGUGUUACUGCGAAGGGGGGACGGAGAAGGCUAUGUUGGCCGGGCGACGGUUGUCCCGGUUUAAGCGUGUAGGCUGGUUUUCCAGGCAAAUCCGGAAAAUCAAGGCUGAGGCGUGACGACGAGGCACUACGGUGCUGAAGCAACAAAUGCCCUGCUUCCAGGAAAAGCCUCUAAGCAUCAGGUAACACGAAAUCGUACCCCAAACCGACACAGGUGGUCAGGUAGAGAAUACCAAGGCGCUUGAGAGAACUCGGGUGAAGGAACUAGGCAAAAUGGUGCCGUAACUUCGGGAGAAGGCACGCUGACACGUAGGUGAAGUGAUUUACUCAUGGAGCUGAAGUCAGUCGAAGAUACCAGCUGGCUGCAACUGUUUAUUAAAAACACAGCACUGUGCAAACACGAAAGUGGACGUAUACGGUGUGACGCCUGCCCGGUGCCGGAAGGUUAAUUGAUGGGGUCAGCGCAAGCGAAGCUCCUGAUCGAAGCCCCGGUAAACGGCGGCCGUAACUAUAACGGUCCUAAGGUAGCGAAAUUCCUUGUCGGGUAAGUUCCGACCUGCACGAAUGGCGUAAUGAUGGCCAGGCUGUCUCCACCCGAGACUCAGUGAAAUUGAACUCGCUGUGAAGAUGCAGUGUACCCGCGGCAAGACGGAAAGACCCCGUGAACCUUUACUAUAGCUUGACACUGAACAUUGAGCCUUGAUGUGUAGGAUAGGUGGGAGGCUUUGAAGUGUGGACGCCAGUCUGCAUGGAGCCGACCUUGAAAUACCACCCUUUAAUGUUUGAUGUUCUAACGUGGACCCGUAAUCCGGGUUGCGGACAGUGUCUGGUGGGUAGUUUGACUGGGGCGGUCUCCUCCUAAAGAGUAACGGAGGAGCACGAAGGUUGGCUAAUCCUGGUCGGACAUCAGGAGGUUAGUGCAAUGGCAUAAGCCAGCUUGACUGCGAGCGUGACGGCGCGAGCAGGUGCGAAAGCAGGUCAUAGUGAUCCGGUGGUUCUGAAUGGAAGGGCCAUCGCUCAACGGAUAAAAGGUACUCCGGGGAUAACAGGCUGAUACCGCCCAAGAGUUCAUAUCGACGGCGGUGUUUGGCACCUCGAUGUCGGCUCAUCACAUCCUGGGGCUGAAGUAGGUCCCAAGGGUAUGGCUGUUCGCCAUUUAAAGUGGUACGCGAGCUGGGUUUAGAACGUCGUGAGACAGUUCGGUCCCUAUCUGCCGUGGGCGCUGGAGAACUGAGGGGGGCUGCUCCUAGUACGAGAGGACCGGAGUGGACGCAUCACUGGUGUUCGGGUUGUCAUGCCAAUGGCACUGCCCGGUAGCUAAAUGCGGAAGAGAUAAGUGCUGAAAGCAUCUAAGCACGAAACUUGCCCCGAGAUGAGUUCUCCCUGAGACUUAGAGUCUCCUGAAGGAACGUUGAAGACGACGACGUUGAUAGGCCGGGUGUGUAAGCGCAGCGAUGCGUUGAGCUAACCGGUACUAAUGAACCGUGAGGCUUAACCUUACAACGCCGAAG